ACCCUUCCGACCCCGGCCGGUCGGCCCCCGGAAGGGGCACCUGCUGGCCCCGGGCCAGGCCCAGGCCCCCCAGGGCGUGACUCGGGUCCCAGGCGACAUCCCCGCGCCCGCCCGGCGGGUCCCAGACUAGGGACUCCGCUCUUUGUUUCCAUAACUUCGGGCACCUCUGGGCGGCCGAGCGCACCCGGCGGCUCGGGCUCAGGCGGGGCCGCACGAUCUCGCAUCGCCCCGCGUCCAGCCCGGGGCGUCUGUCCUUCAACGACUCAGCGCGUCCCCGCCCGCACCCCCAGAACCGCACAGCGUCCCCAGCGACGACCACACGGAAUCCUAGACGUGUGUGAGAAGGUGCUGUCUGCUCCAUGUGUGUGGCCGUGGUGGGGUCCUGGAGGGAACCCCAUUGGCAGAGGGACAGAGAAACCCCAUUGCAGAUCCAUGCUUCCCUGGGGUAUCAGGGAGGGCACUGGAGGACGCCCAGGAAACCGGACAAAACCCAGAGGCCAAGCUGGGAUUUUGUCCCAGCUGUUUCUGCGUUUGGGAGGCUCCUGACCCAAAUCCGCCUCAAGGGAAGCUCGAGGAGGUGGGGAUGGGGCCGCAGCUUUGGGCUGGCAGCUCCCCCCAUUCUCUGAGCCAGGCCAGCCCGGCGUCUGUCCCACGUGAGACCUUCUGGACAGUCCUGGGGGCCAGCACCCCAGGAGCCCCUGCUGCCCAUCUGUGGGGGCAGGUGUGGGACCUGCAGGCCAAGCCCCGGCUCACCUGGCUCAGCCAGAGGCCCUCCAGGAAGCAGCUCCGCCAGGCGCCCACUGCUCCGCACACAGCGUACUAGUGCACACGAGGACUAACAGGUGGCUGUGCCGGCCUCAGGCCCCAGGCCCCAGCUGUCCCUGGGCCCUGCACCCUGAGAGGAGCAUGUCGAAGCCGGGCUGUGCAGUGUGGCGUGAGGAGGGAGCCGAGGCUUCCUGGCCUGUGUUUGUCUCAGAGGAAGGCGGCGAGGGAGCUGGUGCUGUGGUUUGAAGCAGUGGGGCCAUCCCCUUCCUGGUGCCCUUCCAGGGAACCCAGCAGGCAAGCGCAUCUACCCGCAGGGCACAGAGAAGCAGGUGCUCCCAAGGCUGACCGGUGGCUGGCACUGGAAGCCCCAGGGGUGGAGGACCACAUUAGCCGGGUCCCUGAGAACUCUCAGCUGGAAGCAGCCUCAUCAGGUUGUAUACCCAGCAUGUCAAACGCAAAGGCGACCAUGGGCCCAAUAAACAAGGUGUAAGGGUACAUGGGCCGCAAGAAAAACAAAAGCUUCCAUUUUCGUAGAAAUGUAGGUUUAUGUCAAUAGGGACAUGCUGAAUACAAAGGGCUGAAAUAAAUGAGCCAUCGUCAGCAUAAAAUAACAGAACAGGGACUCUUUCCCCCUCCCCACGUGGGAGUCUGUACUUGUUCUUCAGUAAAUUUCCACCUUUGCUAUAAAAAAAAUUAGAACAUUUUAAUAGAAAUUAAUCUUUCUUGAACAUUAACU
Myotis myotis is the source of this 1501-nucleotide long non-coding RNA. RefSeq lists it as uncharacterized. The record is from RefSeq and is a predicted model, not a curated record. NCBI's taxonomy places the organism in Eukaryota, Metazoa, Chordata, Mammalia, Chiroptera, Vespertilionidae. The transcript is spliced from 4 exons.